UUGACAUUGCUACAAUAACAACUGGGCUAGAGGAAUUUUCCAUUUCAAAACAAAUUCCAGCCGUGGGAUCGACCUUGGACUCUCAUGAGAGUGUUAUGGCAGAUGGAAGAGGAAAGUUAGAGUUGACGCAGGAAAAACUACUAGGUCUGGCAGACCCUAUCGGACAGAUACUGCGUUGCAGCGAAGGGCUUCAACAUCUGGUCCUUCUGGACCAUCUGGAAUACCAGGGGCUGCACCUCCACAAGUUAAACCAAAAGUUAUGUCGUCCGAAGACGUUUUGGCUCAGGCACUUGGUAAAAUUAAUGAAUCUUUGGAAAAUUUAGCUAAACAAGUAGCUGAAACAAAUAAACAAGUAGCCGAAGCAUCAGUUAAAAUUGACCAAAAUACUACAAGCAUUAAUAAUUUGGGACAGAAGGUGAAUACCAACACAGAGUCUAUUGAAAAAUUACUACAGGAAUCUGCUUCGACCCGAAAGACAGCUGAAGAAGCAAAAGAUAUAGCAACUGCUACUCAAGAGAAGAUACCACCGAUAUAUAGGCAAUUGGAGGACCACGGUUUGACGUUGUCUAUGAUUGAAUUGAAGGAGAAACAAAGAAAUUUAAGAAUCAGGGCUGUACCAGAACGUGAGAAAGAUAAUUUGGCUGAUUUUCUUACGCAGGAAUUUGCAGAUUUCUGGCAACAGGAUUUGGGGAAGGAAGAAUUUAAGAUAGUGAGUGCAUUUAGACUUGGAAGAGGAGGAAGGAGGAACAAGGAGAGAGACUGCUUGAUCACCCUUCAAACAAAAGAGGAGAGAGACAAAAUCUUGAAUCUGCAUUACCAAGAGACUCUAGAAAUUUACGACUCAAGUGUGGAGAUAUUUAAGGAUAUUCCAAAACAUCUUUUGGAUUAAAGGCUUAACUACGGAGAUCUGGUUGCCCUGUUGAGAAGUAACAGAAUCAGCUUUAGGUGGGAAUUCCCUCAAGGCCUGUCUUUUAAAUAUAAAGGAAGAAAGAUAAAAAUAAGAUCAGUCAAUGACAAGGAUAGGUUUUUGAAGGAUCACGGAGAAGAUCUACAGAAAGAAGUGGAAUCUGGAGAAGAGCCAAAAGCACUGGAAAAAGGAAUACUAGAUAUAGCAAACCUAUCUUUUGGAUUGCAUGGUCCAGAGAAAGUGACACCACUGACAGAACAAGAACAGACACUUGGCGCAGUUGGGGGUAAAGCGAAGUAACCCCAUCAUGGCUUUGCAACUGUUAAGUUGGAAUUGUAAUGGUCUAAACUCUCCUCGGAAGAGAAAAAGUGUUUUUCAUUUACUAAAAAAGGAACAAUUGGACUUGAUUUGUCUACAAGAAACACAUGUAACAAGGUUACACAGGAAACUACUGAUUAACAAGAGAUUGGGACAGGAGUUUAUUUCAUCCGACAAAGUUAAAAAAAGAGGAGUUGUGAUUUAUGCAAAGGAGAGACUAUUACCGAAAUUUAUUUUUAAAGACGACCAAGGAAGAUUUGUGGCAAUUGAAAUUCAAGUUCAAGGAGAGAAAUUUUUGAUAGUAGGAAUUUAUGCACCGAAUGAGGGGAAAUCUGAAUUCUUUAAAAAGUUGCAUGAGACCUUAAUGGACUAUUUGGAUUACAAUCUGAUUUUGAUGGGGGAUAUGAAUGGAGUAGUAUCUACAAACAUGGAUAAGGCACAAAGACAGGUAGUUACCAAGGAUGGUAGACUACCGAAAACAUUCUUCGAGAUGACAGAUAAUUUGGACUUAGUUGAUACUUGGAGAACAAAGAACCCCUUGGGAAGAGAGGGAACCUUCUUUUCUGAAGCCAAGAUGACAUGGACCAGAAUUGACCAAAUAUGGGUAACUAGAGGAAUGGCACCAAAGAUAAAGAAAGUGGAAAUCUGCCCAAAAACCUGCUCCGACCAUAAUGCUGUAAGGAUGGAGUUGAAACUAAUAUCAACUGGCUCCUUCAGAUGGAGGAUGAAUGACACCUUAUUCAGAGAUGAAGAAGUGUAUAAAAGGCCCAAAAAACCUUGAGAGACUAUUUUGAAAUAAAUAUGAAUACUAAUGUAGAAAAUAGAGUAAUCUGGGAUGCAAGCAAAGCUGUCAUGAGAGGGUUUCUGAUACACCAGAAUGCAAUAAAGAAGAGAAGUCAAAAUGAGAAGAAAGAUAAAAUUUUGGGG
Non-coding RNA from Podarcis lilfordi (Lilford's wall lizard), 2152 nucleotides. NCBI's taxonomy places the organism in Eukaryota, Metazoa, Chordata, Lepidosauria, Squamata, Lacertidae. The record is from the annotation of a GenBank genome assembly.